Molecule: long non-coding RNA, 922 nt
Organism: Ixodes scapularis (black-legged tick)
Lineage: Eukaryota; Metazoa; Arthropoda; Arachnida; Ixodida; Ixodidae
Exons: 2
Source: RefSeq, a predicted model, not a curated record
UCUAGAGGUACCCAAGUAACUGGACACUUUCAUACAGGCAGAGCAGUACCCUUCCUAGCAGCCAAAAAAAGAAAAAAAAAAAAAAAAAACUCGCCUGAAUCGCCCGGGAGGAGAUCCUCUGCGCAUGCGCCAUUAUAGCACCCUGAAAACAGAGAACCGAAACCCUGGAUCAUGAUGAUGAUAAAACCCCUAACGGUCAAAACCCGCGACAAAAGGUCGACGCACGUCGGAACGGUACCUUACAGGGUGCUAUUACGUUCUGCGUCGACCUUUUUCAACUCUAUCCUAAUCAUUCAACUCUCUACUUAAAAGUUACCAAAUCUAAAAACAAAAAUAUCUAUUGUACCCUUUUCUUAAUAUUACAACACUUUUCUUUUCUAUUCCAGAAAUCCCACUCUCAACCGGGCAAGUCUAGUCCUACCUCAUGUCCCCCGCCUUGACAAAGAACCGCCCAAAUACACGUGUGUGUGCUUCUUUGUGAGUCAAGAAAAGAGGGUGCACGCGAGCUGGUGAAUAUUCACAAUGUUAAAAUAGCCUGAGACUGGGGUAGAAGCUUCAAGUCGUAGAAGGGACUAUUUUCUGUCCCUUCUACGAUUUGAUGCUUCUACCCCAGUCUCGGGUGAUAUCAAAACGGCCCUGCCCCGGCUCAACGUGGACGCUUCUGUGAACGUGUGUGUGUGUGCACUUUCCUGGUGAACUUUGGAUAACUCUGGACUAUGGACACAAAAGCGACGACGCUAGACAACAUGCAAGGAAAGCACGAGCGAGUUGUACGGCUGGCCCUCCGUUUCAAGAAACCAAUGGCCUCCUGACCCGAGUCUUCUUCAGCUGCGGAUGACCGCUUCAAUGGAAACACCGAUUGUGACAACUCUCUGCGAGUAACAUGUGUGUGAAAUCGUGUUAGCCAGCUCCUAGCUUAAAA